CUUAACUAAAAACAAUUAGAUAAGAAGACAGGAAUUUGAUAGAUUUCCAGGCACACGCCUCAAACUUCAUUAUCAAAUACAAACCUUCAAGUAGGUUUCAGUCUCACAAAUAUCUAUUCAAAUCUGUAUCACAGAAACUGAAAUUUUCCCCCAGUCAUCUGUGUAACUUAGGUUCAAAAAGUAUAUUUCCCACAGAUGGCAUUUUACACUUCCCUGAAAAUAACUGUUCCAAUCUUUCUGGAAGGCAAUCUGGCAAUUCAUGUUAAAAGCUCGCAAAUGGCUUUUCCUUUGACAGCGCAAUCCCUUUGGACUGUUUGUGAAUUUUUCCUUAAAAAACAGUCAUGAAUGUGUGCAGAUAUUUAUCUGUGAUAAUGCUUAUCACAUCAGUGUUAACGAGAACUAAAAACAAUUACAAUUGCAAAAGGACAAACCAGGAGUGCAGCUAAGUAAAUAAUGAAAAAGUUCGUAUAAUGAAAUUAAUCAGCAGUACUUUAAAACAAUACUUUGUGGGAGAACAUUUAAUGUAGAACGAUGGAUUAUAAAGUGAGAAAAUCAUGUUUACAAGCAGUGAUAAGGUUUGAUCCCCUAAAAAAUGUUGAACAAGAAAGAGCAAGAGGGAUUAAGCUGAUUCAAAAUACUGAUAUUCUUUGUCUCUGGUUGUUCUCAGAAUAGAGCCCAAGUCCCUUAAUAUGAUGUGAAAGACCCCAUGUGCUCGUGUUUCCAUCUGCAGUUCCAGCUUCCUCUCCGCCCCUUCCCUUUCCAUUCACCGCCCACCACUCGUUGGCUCUGUUCCAGGAAAAUGGGAUGGCCUUCCAGACUCAGGACCAGGUCAUCUGCAGAUCCUUCCCUCUAGAAUCUGCCACACCCAUACCACCGCCUCCCUUACCCUGACUCUCCUUCGGCCGCAGCACCCAACCCCUCCCCUCCUCUGGAACAGGUCUCCCUUAAACCCCUCAAAGGAAGAACAUAAACACCAAGCAGAGAGUCUCUGUGGAUGGUGA
RNAcentral lists this long non-coding RNA (1001 nucleotides) under Capra hircus (goat). RNAcentral's name for it is "lncRNA (ENSCHIG00010023540.1)". Lineage: Eukaryota; Metazoa; Chordata; Mammalia; Artiodactyla; Bovidae. The record is from RNAcentral.